Molecule: long non-coding RNA, 237 nt
Filed under: Calidris pugnax (ruff)
Lineage: Eukaryota; Metazoa; Chordata; Aves; Charadriiformes; Scolopacidae
Description: lncRNA (ENSCPUG00000015287.1)
Source: RNAcentral
CUUUAGCAUGACUUUCUUCAUAUUUUUUUCCGUGUACAGUGACUUGAUUUCUCCUAUAUCCUAUUAAGCAGGAUACAUAGAGAUGAUGGAUGGUAACAAAUGGAUACUGAGUAUAUUCAGCACCUCUCCAAGAAACUGGUAAAGACUAGCCUGCAAAACUAAGAGAGACUGUGACAGAGCUGUUCCAGGAGAAAGAAAAUAGCUCAAGGACAGAAUUCGUACGGACAGACAUUCCGU